CUCAAUGAUAACUUGGCAGGAGAAGGGGGAAGCGGCCGGGUUUUUCCUGGGCUCGUUACUGGGGUGACAUUCAGUGCCGGGCGAGCUUCGCCGGUCACCGCCAAGUCUCGCCUGGAAAACAAACCAAACCAAACAAAAAGAGAAACCAACCCCCUUUACCCUCCCCCAGAAUAAAAUCCCAACCUGCUACCGAAGGGGGGGGCGACCCAGUGGGGCGGUCGACGGGACACCUCGCCCAAGGGAUGCGGGGAUACUCAGAGGCACGCAGGAGCAGCUGCCGAGCAGCCGCGGGAUGGGGAAACUGGUUGAAGGGGUGUGGGGGGGUGUAUCUCCGAAUAUAUAUAUUAAAAGGCCCCCGAAACGCAGGAGGCUGCGUAAACUGCUCCUAGGCAAGGAGUGAGGAAGGAUGCUGCCAUGCAGGCCUAGCGCCACACGGUAGCAUCCCCCCGCCCCGAGUCUCCUCCAAGCCUCUGCAGGGGAAGCUGGGGGUGAAGGGGAGUGCGGAACACGGACCUCACUCUCCGCACAGACCCCGGGUUCAAUUCGGGUACCCCCGCUGCGCGCAGCGGCCGCUCGGCAGCACAAUGGCGUCGCUGCUAAGGACUGGCGCAAACCCUGGCGGGAUUUACUCGCGGGUGCUUAAACCAUCUCCUCCUACCUCCGCUGCUGCGGAGCAGCUAUUUCCGAAAGCUGGGCGGUUUUAUGUUAAAAGAGCGGGCGAGCGCUGGCCUGCAGUUAGCACCGGGGUUGGUGUGAGCGGUGGUAGGGACUGGCAAGGCACCUGCAAUUCCUUACCUCGAUUUUCUUGUACUCUUAGGCAAAUCCUCUAAGUCUACACAAAUGGCCCUGUUAAAUUCAGGGGACCUUCUACAUGUUGGGUUUAACCCACGUGCAGAAGUAUUUCCACGUGUAGGCCUCACUUAAAAACAAACUACCCAUGGUCGCUUCGGUUUGAGUGCCUCUUGAGCUAGAGAUCAGCUGCUGCCUACACACACUGUUAAUAGCCCAAACUGCUGAAACACCAUGACACCCCGCACAGUGACCACAGCGUCCCAGCAGCACCCAAGGUCAAGUUUACCUCCUUUGCGCUGAGUUGUGCACCACCUACUUUAAUAACUAGUUACAGCGCUGGGGAUACGCAUGUAACUAGUUCAUGAAGGAACACAUGUAGCAGGGCUGAAAUGAAAUUAUUCUUCUGCGACUGCCUCUGUUCAGCCUUAAUAUUACCAUUAGCACUUUCAUUUUCCUCAUUUAAAUACAAUAAAAGGAAAAUUGCCUUUGCUUAAUAUUGCUGCUAAUCAGGUGUUGCUAUUCCAGUUGUUAGGUAAUAAAGUCAGAGAGAAGUUAGUGUGCACCUUUUCUGUUGCUGGACUCUGCUCUCACUGGCACCUUGUUUUAAAUGAUGAGAUCACCUAUUGCAGCUGGAAAAACAGUUGGGGGAAAAAGGAAGUCCCUCUCUGAGUAUGGUACAGUCCAAAUAUCGUUUUAAUGAGCCUGAAAGUGAAAGCACUUUUUUCUUUCUUUCUUUGUUUUGUUUUAACCCAAGCUACUUAAGAUGCUUUCUGGCUUGGCUAGAAAGACAAGUCUGUUUAAUGUUUCUGUUUUGGACUUGGUUGGAACUGCUUUUAAGCAAAAUUCUUACCUGUCUUAACUAUAUUGUCUCAGCAGAGCACAAAGUACAUUACUGAUACAUAUUUUUGGUAGACUUGAAAAGCAUUUUGUACAGCUUGAUCAUUGUCUGUAUUUCGUCAUUAUUUUUUAAGUGAGGCUCUUCCGAUUGAUGUGGGCAAUUGCUUUGAAAGGAUGAAGGGUAUGGUGUAGCUACCCGAGAUGCUACUUGCAAAUAUUCCAUACCUCGGCUAAGAGGGAGAUUUUUAGUUGUGAUUGUUACACUUUUGAAAGUGAAUUAGUUAAUCAAAUUGCUAUUUUUGGAAUGCACUUAAAAGAACAUUAAAAUGCAUAAAUUUCAUUAAAAUAAAUGAGCAGAUAGGCAACAAAACAAGUAUUAGUCAAAUAAGAUCUCACCCAUGGAGCCAAAUUCAGCCCUGGUGACAUCAACUGAGUUGUGCUUGUCUACAGCAUAUUUAAUUUGGCUUCUGCAGUCACACAGCUGACACUAUGUGGUUGUCAAAUGUGUGUAUAUUAAAAAUGGGUGAGCCAUGCUCCUCCAACAUAAUUAACCUCUGAAAUUCACCUGGUUUCCAUUUAGCUCAGCUGUGCCAUCCUAUCGCAUAUGCAAUUUUUGGUGCUCAUAAACCCCAGAGACGCAGAGAGACAUCCCCAACCCUGGUAUUAGUCUAAGGGACAUGAGUUUUCUCUGAAGCGAGGGUGCAAUAAGGUGGAUUUCAGCAGAGGCUCUUCACAAUGGGCCGCAUAUAGGCUUCAGUUAAAAGGCUGCACUAAAGUCUCUCCUACCAUCUUUCAUUACUGUUGUUACUCAUGCCAGUGAGAGUAAAGGAAAGGUUGGUAUGUCUAUAAUCACACAUUCAUUUGCUAUGUAGAUAUAUCCUAAGAGCCUCUCCGCACAGGAAAAUUAUUCAGGAAUAAGGUUGGAUGUGAAUGUAAAGCAGAAUGUGCUCAGAUAGCUUGUUCAUUCUGGAAUGACCGAGCUCUUUCCUGGUUUCACUUAAUCCACUUUCAAAAUGGAUUAAGAUAAUUCAAGAAAGGAAAUUCUUCUGCUGGUACAAUAUUUGUCUACACAUGGGUUUAGUCAUUACUGCAGUGUACCUAAUAGGUGUUUUGGAAUGAUACAGUGCAUAGACAAGCUCAGAGUCCCACAAGUGAAAAAAAACAGAAUUUAGUCUUUCUGUAUAACAUGAGGUUAAUUUAGCCCAGACUUUUACCUGCUUCUUUCCUUGUGAAGGAUAUUUAAUUCAUUACAUGUUUUUAGCAAAAAAUCCUACAACAGCUCUGUAUUUAUGCUCAAUUCCAGGAUAGCAAUGCCAUGUGCCCUCUAAAAUAAACCAUCAGUACCUUCUCAACUGCCUUGAAGUUGACAAUAGAUUCAUUGCUGGAGAAAACACCAGCUUCUCAAUGCUCAAUUUGUGAUUACAAGCAUGGCUUUGCUGUCCUGUGUUGGUCUUGGCUGAGGAUAUAGAGAGUGGAUUUCACAUAUGCCUCCCUCGCACCAAACCUGCUUAUUUAAUGAGAAGCUUCCUGGUAAGAAAGUAAGCAUUGACUAAAGAAGGUAAAACAUGGAUAAACAUAAAACAAGCAAGUUCUUGGAUUCUCUUGUGCUGGGUGACUUUGUGCAUGGGUCUAGUUUUGCUAUUGUCCUGGGUUCAGCAGUAGCAGUCAUUUUUACUCCUUCUUGGUAGCUGGUGCAGUGCUGUGUUUUGACUUUCGGGCUGGGAACCCAAAGGCUCAAAUUAGACUAAGAUCAAAGGCAUCAGGAACAUGUCUGAUCUGAAAUCCUACUUCUGUAAGAGAUUGGAUUAGAUCAUUUUACACUGCUUCCACUGCGAGGUCUCUGAGCCACCUGCAGUGGUGGGUUAUCCCAGCUCUCACCCACUUUUGUCAUUACUCCUGUCAUUAGGUUAGAUUUAAGAAAACAGUUCUUUACUAUGAGUUUGGUGAGGCACUGGCACAGGUUGCCCAAGGAAGUCGUGAAUGCUCCAUCCCUGGCAGUGUUCAAGGCCAGGUUGGGCAGAGUCUUGGGUGACAUGGUUUAGUGUGAGUUGUCCCUGUCUUGGUGAGAGGGUUGGAAAUUGAUGAUCCUAAGGUCCUUUCCAACCCUAACUAUUCUAUGAUUCUAUGAUUACAGGGGAAUUUCUCAUCCAGCGAGGAAAGUGUCUUUAAGUCUCUGAGAUGAUGGCAUGGGCACAAGGAAAUCUCAACGCAAAGCCAAUGCAAUGAAAUUAAGGAGCCUUUAUGGGAAUUGGUUAGUAGCACCAAUGGUUAAUAUUUGUCGUAACAACAACCGUUUUGUUUUUUGUUCUAACAAUGUGAAUUACACAUUAAACAUUAAUACAAGUGAUUGUACUUUUCUUUUGAUCUUCAAGCAUAACCAUUUCAAAUGAGAGUUUAUACAUGAGCAUUGAAACAAAUCCCUGAGUCAUGUGAAUUUACAUUGGUUUUGCUCUGUGGGAAAGAUAUCCCACAUGAGUUACUCAUGUCUGCAAAACAUAACAUACUCAUAAAUCAGAAGGCAAAAAUAAA
Molecule: long non-coding RNA, 4158 nt
Organism: Melopsittacus undulatus (budgerigar)
Lineage: Eukaryota; Metazoa; Chordata; Aves; Psittaciformes; Psittaculidae
Exons: 3
Source: RefSeq, a predicted model, not a curated record